RNAcentral lists this transfer RNA (73 nucleotides) under Sphaerodactylus townsendi. RNAcentral describes it as "tRNA-Ala". It matches the Rfam family "tRNA". From Rfam's summary of the family: Transfer RNA (tRNA) molecules are approximately 80 nucleotides in length. Their secondary structure includes four short double-helical elements and three loops (D, anti-codon, and T loops). Lineage: Eukaryota; Metazoa; Chordata; Lepidosauria; Squamata; Sphaerodactylidae. The record is from RNAcentral.
GGGGGCUGUGGCUCAGAGGAAGAGUAUCUGCCUGGCAUUCAGAAGGCCCCGUGUUCAAUCCCCGGCAUCUCCA